This 507-nucleotide ribosomal RNA is filed under the name Staphylococcus aureus. RNAcentral describes it as "partial 23S ribosomal RNA". It matches the Rfam family "Bacterial large subunit ribosomal RNA", at positions 940 to 1452 of the family's 2925-position model. Lineage: Bacteria; Bacillati; Bacillota; Bacilli; Caryophanales; Staphylococcaceae. The record is from RNAcentral.
CGAAUUCAGACAAACUCCGAAUGCCAAUUAAUUUAACUUGGGAGUCAGAACAUGGGUGAUAAGGUCCGUGUUCGAAAGGGAAACAGCCCAGACCACCAGCUAAGGUCCCAAAAUAUAUGUUAAGUGGAAAAGGAUGUGGCGUUGCCCAGACAACUAGGAUGUUGGCUUAGAAGCAGCCAUCAUUUAAAGAGUGCGUAAUAGCUCACUAGUCGAGUGACACUGCGCCGAAAAUGUACCGGGGCUAAACAUAUUACCGAAGCUGUGGAUUGUCCUUUGGACAAUGGUAGGAGAGCGUUCUAAGGGCGUUGAAGCAUGAUCGUAAGGACAUGUGGAGCGCUUAGAAGUGAGAAUGCCGGUGUGAGUAGCGAAAGACGGGUGAGAAUCCCGUCCACCGAUUGACUAAGGUUUCCAGAGGAAGGCUCGUCCGCUCUGGGUUAGUCGGGUCCUAAGCUGAGGCCGACAGGCGUAGGCGAUGGAUAACAGGUUGAUAUUCCUGUACCACCUAUA